GACUGAGUUAAGUAUGUUUGAAUCAUCUGACAAACAGCUUCCCUGGGUUGUGUAUGAGUGACUCAGUUUAAAACAUAUUGAAAGGAAAGGAAGCUCCAGGCACAGCUUAGAAGCCUAGAAAGAAGAUUAUGCUUGGUUUUGACAUGGGAGGAAGAACUGCUUUGUCAGGUUUUGGUGUUCUACAGCUAUUCAAUGCAGAACUACUCUCUGUACAUCAAAGCGUGAAACAUGAAUGUUCAACAUGGAUAAGCAGAACUGGAAGAUUUAUAG
Pezoporus flaviventris is the source of this 270-nucleotide long non-coding RNA. RefSeq lists it as uncharacterized. The record is from RefSeq and is a predicted model, not a curated record. The transcript has 3 exons. Lineage: Eukaryota; Metazoa; Chordata; Aves; Psittaciformes; Psittacidae.